RNAcentral lists this ribosomal RNA (444 nucleotides) under uncultured bacterium. RNAcentral's name for it is "SSU rRNA". It matches the Rfam family "Bacterial small subunit ribosomal RNA", at positions 26 to 518 of the family's 1533-position model. The record is from RNAcentral.
AGAACGAACGCUGGCGGCAGGCUUAACACAUGCAAGUCGAGCGCCCCGCAAGGGGAGCGGCGGACGGGUGAGUAACACGUGGGAAUAUGCCCUUUGGUUCGGAACAACUCAGGGAAACUUGAGCUAAUACCGAAUGUGCCGGUAACGGGAAAGAUUUAUCGCCAAGGGAUUAGCCCGCGUCCGAUUAGCUAGUUGGUGAGGUAAUGGCUCACCAAGGCUCCGAUCGGUAGCUGGUUUGAGAGAACGACCAGCCACACUGGGACUGAGACACGGCCCAGACUCCUACGGGAGGCAGCAGUGGGGAAUCUUGGACAAUGGGGGAAACCCUGAUCCAGCCAUGCCGCGUGAGUGAUGAAGGCCUUCGGGUUGUAAAACUCUUUCGACGGGGACGAUAAUGACGGUACCCGUAGAAGAAGCUCCGGCUAACUUCGUGCCAGCAGCCGC